This is a long non-coding RNA of Phyllopteryx taeniolatus (common seadragon), 2695 nucleotides long. RefSeq lists it as uncharacterized. The record is from RefSeq and is a predicted model, not a curated record. NCBI's taxonomy places the organism in Eukaryota, Metazoa, Chordata, Actinopteri, Syngnathiformes, Syngnathidae. The transcript has 2 exons.
CCCAAAAACAUGCAUGAAUUGGAGACUCUAAAUUGCCCGUAGGCAUGACUGUGAGUGCGAAUGGUUGUUUGUUUGUAUGUGCCCUGCGAUUGGCUGGCAACCAGUUCAGGGUGUACCCCGCCUCCUGCCCGAUGACAGCUGGGAUAGGCUCCAGCACGCCCGCGACCCUAGUGAGGAGAAGCGGCUCAGAAAAUGGAUGGAUGGAUGUAUGUAUAUAUAUAUUGUUUUGUUAUUUUUCCCUUUGGCUUAUGCACCAUCAUCCCAUGACAAUAUUUCUGGAGGAAAAAAUAAAUGACAAUAUCGAGGCAGAGGAGGCAUGCACGAGGUAGAUAUCAAGGAAGUUGGAUCAUUUGGUGCUGAUCAAUAAUAGUGAUUGUCUUGGCCUUCGAUACAGGGCUAUACUCUGUGAGAGUAGUUUAAAAACAAUUGAAAUUCAUCAGAUCAUAAAGCUAAUCUAUAAAAAAUAUAUAUAUAAUUUGUGGACAAAUGCUUCUAGUCAAGUCUAUAGGAUGCUGUUCCUAUGAAUGCUAAAAUUAGUGUGCAGUUUGGAAUAUGCCUGCCUCUUUUAUAAUGAUAGAAAAUGGUGUAAUGAUGGAUCGAGUGCAGUACAGUAUUUUCAUUGAAACGGGCCCUGUUAUUUUGCCUUGGGAUUUAAUUUGUUCCUCUGGCCUCAAAAUGAUGUGCAGCUUUCACUUAAUUGUUUGAGGUUGCAGUGUCACGACAGCCGCCUGCGGAGAAGCAUGCAACAGCAUCCCAACCCUCACACACAGUCAUCCCCUCUUAUAAGCAAUCAGUCACGUUGGCCCCAAAUAUGUCCUCAUCAUUUCUUUUUACACAGGAUACUAUUGGCUCUCUGAUUGGCUCAUCACUGCAAAGGGUCACCACAGUUCACAUUGUACCGUAAGAUCCUCUGCGUGUGAAUAUGUAGCUAUGCAUUUAUGUAUCCCAAAAAAAUUUGCCUUUUGUUGUACAAUGUUACGUCUAGUCCAUGACUGGGGCCAUCAUUGCUAGCAGCCUCUCAAAUGUAUUUGAAUUCAUCCUGGAGAAAUUUGCAAAGGGUACAUUGUAAAACCAGAUGACAAGCGAAGAAAAUGCCCCUUAAUCAUGAUGAAAACAUUUAUGGGGCUUUAUCUACUGUCUCUCGUUUAAUUUCACCCUUUCCUCUCUCUAUUCUUAGUUGACAGAGAAAGAUAACCAUCGCAAAAUGGUGUUUGUGAUUUAAUAAAAUCAGAUAGGGGACGCUUCAAAUGUUUCCCCAUAGGAACGCCAAACAUUUUUUUUGUUGCAGCAAAUUCAGGAGGUUGGUUGUGCGAGGGUCAUUCGUCAACUGUAAUUUGUUUAAUUGUCUAGUUCUGUCGAAUUCAGCUGUUUUGCUCGGUGUGCAGCCAGUUUAAGAUGAAGAGUGAGUGAUAUCUGUUAUUCUCGAGGUAUUCUGGUUUGAUUCAUUGUACACAACACUGAAGGCAAGUUUACUUCAUGUUACAUUUUUAUUUUUUUCAUGUAAAACUAAGCUCCGAAAACAAGACGAUUAACCUUCUGAAUUGUCAUCGUCAGCAAGUAUACAAAAGGAAACAGAGAAGACAAAAUUCCCAGAGGUGUGGCUAAAAUGGCGCAGUGGAACACACUAUGGAGUCCAGCAUGAGCGCUUUCGUUCACAUCAGCGGUUUUGCAACAAUUGAAAAGUGCAGUUAGCAAGCUAGCUAUGCCUACACCCCAAAAAAAUGCAUCUUCUCCUUUGGAUAUUCCGCUGGCGUGGUGUAGAGUGCCUCGUUAUCGGCUGUGAGUAUACACUUGUCUGGCGUGGCCGCGUUAGAGCGCCUGAUUGUCGCGGCGCUGAACAGACCCCUGACGACCGAGUGGCAUCUAUUCAAGCCACCAGAGGCUUUUUUACGCAGCCAUUAUUUUCAGAGCUGAAAGACAAAGAAGAAGACAAACCAUCCAUUUGUAGGAGUGGUCUUUGAUUGACAGUUGAGUGGGGCGUGGUUUCAGCGUACAUGCCCACAACGUUCAAGAGCGGAGAGAAACGCUUGAUUUUUCAUGUACUUGGCAUUUUUUUUUAAAUCAUUCAAAUUUGGCACCAUUGUUAACAACAUUCUUUUCUGUGGUGUGUCAAAUUUACUUGACUUUUUUUUCAGCCUGGAUCUUGCUGAGAGAGUGGUUAAGCAGGGGACCUUGUCCAGGCUCAAAGCAAUUCUAGACCAACCCCCCCCGCACACUGCCUUCUCACAGCAGAGGAUCUCCUUCAGUGACAGAUUGCUAUCUCAGAGACACUCCACUGUCAGAUUCGGGAACUCUUUUGUAGCAUGUGCCGUAAGAAUGCACAAUGCCACAGCUGGCAGGGGUGGAGGGUUGUGAUGAAAUGAUGGUGUUUUUAGAGUUGUUGUUUUCAGUGCCUUACUCACCUACUCGGGCUCAAGUACUGAGGGAGUCACAAUCCUUCCAUACAUAAUAUUGUUAUUAAAAUCUGAUGUCAUCCCAUCCCAGCCAGACGUUCCUAUUGAAUAAGACUACAAUGGCCCAGAGGUGCCCUUCUUCUCUAAUUCCAUGAUAGCGCAGUUACUGACCCAUUGCCCUGUCUGCGCUCAGCGAUAAAUGGCCCACUGCCAGCUCAAGCCAGCUAGCAGGCUUAUCUUCUCUGGAACAUUAUUUAUUCCAUUGUAGUGUUUGCUUUAUUAAAAGCUCAUGUUAUUACUGA